GAAAUGCGAUAAGUAAUGUGAAUUGCAGAAUUCAGUGAAUCAUCGAAUCUUUGAACGCACCUUGCGCUCCUUGGUAUUCCUUGGAGCAUGCCUGUUUGAGUAUCAUGAAAUCUUCUAAGUAAAUCUUUUGUUAUCUCAAUUGGUUUCUACUUUGGUAUUGGAGGUCUUUGCAGCUUCACACCUGCUCCUCUUUGUUCAUUAGCUGGAUCUCAGUGUUAUGCUUGGUUCCACUCGGCGUGAUAAGUUAUCUAUCGCUGAGGACACUGUAAAAGGUGGCCAAGGUAAAUGCAGAUGAACCGCUUCUAAUAGUCCAUUGACUUGGACAAUACUUUUAUGAUCUGAUCUCAAAUCAGGUAGGACUACCCGCUGAACUUAAGC
This 378-nucleotide unclassified non-coding RNA is filed under the name plant metagenome. RNAcentral's name for it is "partial contains 5.8S ribosomal RNA, internal transcribed spacer 2, and large subunit ribosomal RNA". The stretch from base 1 to 105 matches the Rfam family "5.8S ribosomal RNA", at positions 50 to 154 of the family's 154-position model. The record is from RNAcentral.